GUUGUAUAGUCAAGUAAUUAAGUGCAUGUGGUGGAUGCCUUGGCAGUCAGAGGCGAUGAAAGACGUGAUAGCCUGCGAAAAGCUCCGGGGAGGCGGCAAAUAUCCUUUGAUCCGGAGAUGUCUGAAUGGGGGGAACCCACCUACUUUAAGGUAGGUAUUGCAACAUGAAUACAUAGUGUUGCAAGGCGAACGAGGGGAAGUGAAACAUCUCAGUACCCUUAGGAAAAGAAAUCAAUUGAGAUUCCCUCAGUAGCGGCGAGCGAACGGGGAUCAGCCCAUUAAGUUAUGUGUGUUUUAGUGGAACGCUCUGGGAAGUGCGAACGUAGAGGGUGAUAUUCCCGUACACGAAAGGGCACACAUAAUGAUGACGAGUAGGGCGAGGCACGUGAAACCUUGUCUGAAUAUGGGGGGACCAUCCUCCAAGGCUAAAUACUCCUGACUGACCGAUAGUGAACCAGUACCGUGAGGGAAAGGCGAAAAGAACCCCUGUGAGGGGAGUGAAAUAGAUCCUGAAACCGCAUGCAUACAAGCAGUGGGAGCACCUUCGUGGUGUGACUGCGUACCUUUUGUAUAAUGGGUCAGCGACUUAUAUUCAGUAGCGAGGUUAACCGUAUAGGGGAGCCGUAGAGAAAUCGAGUCUUAAUAGGGCGUUUAGUUGCUGGGUAUAGACCCGAAACCAGGCGAUCUAUCCAUGAGCAGGUUGAAGGUUGGGUAACACUAACUGGAGGACCGAACCCACUGUCGUUGAAAAGCCAGGGGAUGACUUGUGGAUAGGGGGUGAAAGGCUAAUCAAGCCUGGUGAUAGCUGGUUCUCCCCGAAAGCUAUUUAGGUAGCGCCUCGGACGAAUACCAUAGGGGGUAGAGCACUGUUUCGGCUAGGGGGUCAUCCCGACUUACCAAACCGAUGCAAACUCCGAAUACCUAUGAGUACUAUCCGGGAGACAGACUGCGGGUGCUAACGUCCGUAGUCAAGAGGAAAACAAUCCAGACCGCCAGCUAAGGCCCCAAAAUCAUAGUUAAGUGGGAAACGAUGUGGGAAGGCAUAGACAGCUAGGAGGUUGGCUUAGAAGCAGCCACCCUUUAAAGAAAGCGUAAUAGCUCACUAGUCGAGUCGGCCUGCGCGGAAGAUGUAACGGGGCUAAAACUAUGUGCCGAAGCUGCGGAUGUAUACUUUGUAUACGUGGUAGGGGAGCGUUCUGUAAGCCGAUGAAGGUGUGUUGAGAAGCAUGCUGGAGGUAUCAGAAGUGCGAAUGCUGACGUGAGUAACGACAAAACGGGUGAAAAACCCGUUCGCCGAAAGACCAAGGGUUCCAGUCCAACGUUAAUCGGGGCUGGGUGAGUCGACCCCUAAGGCGAGGCCGAAAGGCGUAGUCGAUGGGAAAAUGGUUAAUAUUCCAUUACUUCUGUGUAAUGCGAUGAGAGGACGGAGAAGGCUAAAUCAGCCUGGCGUUGGUUGUCCAGGUGAAAGGAUGUAGGCAUGUAUCUUAGGCAAAUCCGGGGUACUCUAUGCUGAGAUCUGAUAGCAAGCUGUACUUGUACAGCGAAGUGGUUGAUGCCAUGCUUCCAGGAAAAGUCUCUAAGCUUCAGUUACACAGGAAUCGUACCCGAAACCGACACAGGUGGUCAGGUCGAGUAGACCAAGGCGCUUGAGAGAACUCUGCUGAAGGAACUAGGCAAAAAUGGUACCGUAACUUCGGGAGAAGGUACGCUGUUGUUGGUGAUGGAACUCGCUUCCUGAGCUGACGACAGCCGCAGAAACCAGGCCGCUGCAACUGUUUAUUAAAAACAUAGCACUCUGCAAACACGAAAGUGGACGUAUAGGGUGUGAUGCCUGCCCGGUGCUGGAAGGUUAAUUGAUGGGGUUAGCGUAAGCGAAGCUCUUGAUCGAAGCCCCAGUAAACGGCGGCCGUAACUAUAACGGUCCUAAGGUAGCGAAAUUCCUUGUCGGGUAAGUUCCGACCUGCACGAAUGGCAUAAUGAUGGCGGCGCUGUCUCCAGCAGAGGCUCAGUGAAAUCGAAAUCGCUGUGAAGAUGCAGUGUACCCGCGGCUAGACGGAAAGACCCCGUGAACCUUUACUGCAGCUUGACACUGAACUUUGACCUUACUUGUGUAGGAUAGGUGGGAGGCUUUGAAGCUGGAACGCUAGUUCCAGUGGAGCCGUCCUUGAAAUACCACCCUGGUAAUGUUGAGGUUCUAACUCUGUCCCGUGAUCCGGGACGAGGACCGUGUCUGGUGGGUAGUUUGACUGGGGGCGGUCUCCUCCUAAAGAGUAACGGAGGAGUACGAAGGUGCGCUCAGCGUGGUCGGAAAUCACGCGUAGAGUAUAAAGGCAAAAGCGCGCUUAACUGCGAGACCCACAAGUCGAGCAGGUACGAAAGUAGGUCUUAGUGAUCCGGUGGUUCUGUAUGGAAGGGCCAUCGCUCAACGGAUAAAAGGUACUCUGGGGAUAACAGGCUGAUACCGCCCAAGAGUUCAUAUCGACGGCGGUGUUUGGCACCUCGAUGUCGGCUCAUCUCAUCCUGGGGCUGAAGCAGGUCCCAAGGGUAUGGCUGUUCGCCAUUUAAAGAGGUACGCGAGCUGGGUUUAGAACGUCGUGAGACAGUUCGGUCCCUAUCUACCGUGGGCGCUGGAAAUUUGAGAGGAUCUGCUCCUAGUACGAGAGGACCAGAGUGGACGAACCUCUGGUGUACCGGUUGUGACGCCAGUCGCAUCGCCGGGUAGCUAUGUUCGGAAGGGAUAACCGCUGAAAGCAUCUAAGCGGGAAGCCUACCUCAAGAUAAGAUUUCCCUAGGACUUUAUGUCCUCUAAAGAGCCGUUCGAGACUAGGACGUUGAUAGGUUGGAUGUGGAAGCAUAGUGAUAUGUGAAGCUGACCAAUACUAAUUGCUCGUGAGGCUUGACUAUACAACACCCAAGCAGUUG
This 2922-nucleotide ribosomal RNA is filed under the name Acinetobacter baumannii. RNAcentral describes it as "23S ribosomal RNA". It matches the Rfam family "Bacterial large subunit ribosomal RNA". Lineage: Bacteria; Pseudomonadati; Pseudomonadota; Gammaproteobacteria; Moraxellales; Moraxellaceae. The record is from RNAcentral.